This 409-nucleotide ribosomal RNA is filed under the name uncultured bacterium. Its description in RNAcentral is "partial 16S ribosomal RNA". It matches the Rfam family "Bacterial small subunit ribosomal RNA", at positions 338 to 763 of the family's 1533-position model. The record is from RNAcentral.
CCUACGGGAGGCAGCAGUGGGGAAUAUUGCACAAUGGGGGAAACCCUGAUGCAGCGACGCCGCGUGAGCGAGGAAGUAUUUCGGUAUGUAAAGCUCUAUCAGCAGGGACGAAAAAAGACGGUACCGGACUAAGAAGCCCCGGCUAACUACGUGCCAGCAGCCGCGGUAAUACGGAGGGGGCAAGCGUUAUCCGGAUUUACUGGGUGUAAAGGGAGCGUAGCCGGCAAGGAAAGGCAGAAGUGAAAGGGCAGGGCUCACCCCUGUACAUGCUUUUGGAACUGUGGUGCUAGCUUGCAGGCGAUGUAAGUGGCAUUCCUAGUGUAGCGGUGACAUGCGUUGAUAUUAGGCGGACCACCAGUGGCGACGGCGGCUUACUGGACUGUACCUGACGUUGAGGCUCGAAAGCGUG